Molecule: long non-coding RNA, 636 nt
Organism: Silurus meridionalis
Lineage: Eukaryota; Metazoa; Chordata; Actinopteri; Siluriformes; Siluridae
Exons: 3
Source: RefSeq, a predicted model, not a curated record
UUUUUUUGACUGAUAGUCUUAUGCUCAUGUAACUUGCAUGUAUACAAAUAAUGGAUUGUGCCCUGGUUGAUACAGUAGCAUGCUCUACUUUAUAUAAUUUAUUUGCUUUACAGGAAGCCUGAAGCAGAACCGUUUGCUGAAAACUGUCAGUAAGAAAGAGCUGGAGACAGCACUUGGUAAAUGGUUCACAAAUGCAAGAGACAGAGAAGGCAACCGUGCUUUCAGAGCCCAGCGGGACCAUGAUCAGAUUGCAAUACAGCUGGAAGUGUGAUGUUUGUGGUGGCACGUCCUGAUUUUGCCAAGUCCUUGAUGCCCUGAGAUCAAUAUUUUUUUAUGAUGACCCUGGGACAACAACUUCCUCAGCAAUCAGCGUUUAUGACGUCAUCAAUAUGCGCGACCCAAUUACUAUCACCAUUUUGCAGAGUCCGCCAAAAUACAAAAUAAAUAACGGUUUGCACCUGCACCGCACCAGUGGCAAACUCAGGAUGUGCCACCAGCAAAAAGAUUUUGACAUUAGAGAUGGAGGAAUUUAUAAAAACAACAGUCUACAGAGAGGAGUGCUUUAAAGGAAACAAAAAAGAGACAGCUAUAACAGUCCAUGUUUUAGAAAAUCAUUUGGAUGCCUGUAAAUUUAUU